UAAUACAUAAGUAACCUGCCCUAGACAGGGGGAUAACUAUUGGAGACGAUAGCUAAGACCGCAUAGGUACGGACACUGCAUGGUGACCGUAUUAAAAGUGCCUCAAAGCACUGGUAGAGGAUGGACUUAUGGCGCAUUAGCUGGUUGGCGGGGUAACGGCCCACCAAGGCGACGAUGCGUAGCCGACCUGAGAGGGUGACCGGCCACACUGGGACUGAGACACGGCCCAG
RNAcentral lists this ribosomal RNA (230 nucleotides) under uncultured bacterium. Its description in RNAcentral is "partial 16S ribosomal RNA". It matches the Rfam family "Bacterial small subunit ribosomal RNA", at positions 111 to 334 of the family's 1533-position model. The record is from RNAcentral.